This 617-nucleotide long non-coding RNA is filed under the name Canis lupus dingo (dingo). RNAcentral describes it as "lncRNA (ENSCAFG00020020381.1)". The record is from RNAcentral. Lineage: Eukaryota; Metazoa; Chordata; Mammalia; Carnivora; Canidae.
AUGUCGUGGGUCCCACUGGACUCCCGUCCCUCAUUCACAGCUGAGGGUCCUCCAGACACCUUCCAGGAAGGAAGCCGGCACCUGCUGUCCAGCAGUUCUAGCCACAUCCGCUGGCCGCCUUCCUGCUCCUUGCUGGAUCUGAAAGGUGUGGGGGAUGGGAACAGGCAAAGCACCUCGCAGGUGUUGUCCCUGAACAAAAGAAGGCAUAGGCCCGAGUGGCAGAAACGAAGGGCGAAACCACAGCCAAAGCGGCUGGGUGUAAGCGGGGAGCCUGGCGCCAGAGAGGCGUUAGAGGAGCCACGGGCAGGCUCCAGGGCCCAGGCCAAGGCUCCACCAGCAGCGUGGGAGGAGCAGGUAGGGCCUGAGCUUGCUCGCAGGACGGUCUUGCUCUGAGCUCAGGAGGAAAGCAAGCGCAUCAGAGCUGCGCCUUCCUUCCAAGGCGACUGGCGAGGCCUGUCCACCGCUCAGGGAAGCAGGAGGAAGCGCCUGGUCUCUCUGGGGACACGGGGGUGUCGCAUCCCUGGGCCCACGCGUGAAUGGGCAGAGUCCAGCUCGGUGCCACCUUGAAGGCCAGGAGCCCCAAGCACAGAAACUAACGUAACGCUUCGCCUAAAGCA